Molecule: unclassified non-coding RNA, 250 nt
Filed under: plant metagenome
Description: partial contains small subunit ribosomal RNA, internal transcribed spacer 1, and 5.8S ribosomal RNA
Rfam family: 5.8S ribosomal RNA (bases 197-250)
Source: RNAcentral
GUAGGUGAACCUGCGGAAGGAUCAUUAACGAAUUGGUUAGCGGACUGUGCUGGCUUCGGCAUGUGCACGUCUGCGAAUUCAUCCAAUACACCUGUGCACCUUUGACUCUGAGUUCCGCAAGGGACGAGGAGUAUUAAACUACACUCUUUACAAGUAUGUGAUAUAGAAACAUGGCGCUCAGCGUCGAGUUACAAACAACUUUCAACAACGGAUCUCUUGGCUCUCGCAUCGAUGAAGAACGCAGCAUCUG